CUUGGUCAUUUAGAGGAAGUAAAAGUCGUAACAAGGUCUCCGUAGGUGAACCUGCGGAGGGAUCAUUACAAGACUGUGUGCGAGCCCCAAGUGGCGCGUACGUCCCAUUCUGUGUGAGCACAAAGCUUGCUUUGGCGCCUUUGGCGUCGGAUUUAUGCGGACAUGCCGUUGAAUCUGAAAGACCUAGAAAUUUAAAACUUUCAACAAAGGAUCUCUUGGCUCUUGCACCGAUGAAGAACGCAGCAAAGCGCGAAAUGUAGUGUGAAUUGCAGAACUUUGUGAAUCAUCGAAUCUUUGAACGCACAUUGCGCCCCUUGUUACAGAGGGGCAUGCCUGUCUGAGUGUCUUUUAAACCAUGGACUUUUGUCUGUUUUGGGCGUCGCGCCUCUGCGUCGCCUUGAAGCCAUUGCUGUCGAACGGACGAGAUCCUCUGGGACGACGCCGCUAGACUAGAGAAAAACUUCUCUGACGGACCUCAGAUCAGGUAGGACUACCGCCUGAACUUAAGCAUAUCAAUAAGGCGAGGAACAGAAACUAACAGGGAUUCCCCCAGUAGUGGCGAACGAAGAGGGAAAAGCUCAAGUUUGAAAUCUGGUUUACCAGAGUUGUAAGCUCAAGAUGCGUGGCCGACGUUGCCCUGGCCUAAUUUCCUUGGAACAGGAAGUCAUAGAGGGUGAGAACCCCGUUGAUGGUCGAGGGACCUUCAGUCUUUGCGCUGCGACGUCUAAGAGUCGGGUUGUUUGGGAAUGCAGCUCAAAAUGGGUGGUAAAUUUCAUCUAAGGCUAAAUACUGGCAAGAGACCGAUAGGAAACAAGUAGAGUAAUCGAAAGAUGAAAAGUACUUUGAAAAGAGAGUGAAACAGUACGUGAAAUUGUUGAAAGGGAACCGCUUGGUAUCAGCCCUUGGCUCUGGAUGAUCAUCCGCGCUUUUGCUCGGUGCACUUGUCCAGGGCUGGGCCAGCAUCGGCUUUGCUUGUCGUAGAAAGGUCUUGGGGAUGUGGCUCCUCGGAGCGUUAUAACCCUUGACGGCAUGCGACUGGUGGGGCCGAGGUCCGCGAUUUGUCUAGGAUGCUGGCGUAAUGGUUCCAAGCGACCCGUCUUGAAACACGGACC
Molecule: ribosomal RNA, 1112 nt
Filed under: uncultured fungus
Lineage: Eukaryota; Fungi
Description: eukaryotic LSU rRNA
Rfam family: Eukaryotic large subunit ribosomal RNA (bases 471-1112)
Source: RNAcentral